This 300-nucleotide long non-coding RNA is filed under the name Homo sapiens (human). RNAcentral describes it as "HSALNT0079914". Lineage: Eukaryota; Metazoa; Chordata; Mammalia; Primates; Hominidae. The record is from RNAcentral.
UCCAGAACAACUACUCAAGGACAUGUCUGAAUGAGUCACUGAACCAUGGCUCUGUGAGGUCAAAGAUAGUGAGACAAAAAGGAAUUGCUCAAAUACUGAGAUGCAUGUCAACUCUUCCAACAACCUCCAGAAUUUACUGAGCCUGUAACACAGCUUUUGUAAUCCUUUUCUGUGACAGAUUAAAGCAAACAGCCAAAAACAAGGACAAAGUCCAAGGUGUCCAAAAGAAAGACUCAGGAGACAAGACAGAAAUUUUGGUGACUGGGGGAUUACUCACCAGAAGACAUUGAUGAACAUUUC